UUCUCUCAGUGCUUUUCUUGCGCUAAAACAAACCUCAUACUUCCUCCUCCCCUGUAUAUAAGAGCAUAUCGAGUCUGAAACAAAUCAACAAUCAUCAGCAUCUUAUAUUAUCUUUUCUGCUAGUCCCUAAUUUAAGACACUACAGUUUGCUCUUCUUGUUUCCUGUCCUCCUGCCUUAUAAAAAUGUCUUUCAGUUUCAGAGUUGUAGCUCCAUGGUGCAGGAAGCAUUGUGAAAAUGGCCAUGUUGAUGUUUGGUAUGGCUAUCCUCCUGUAGUCUGCGUUGAAGGAGAUGACGACGAUGAUGGUGGUUAUGACUAUGCUCCAGCGGCAUAAACUCAUUAUCUCUCUCUCAUUCAUUUUGGUUACUACUUCAAAUAGCUAGUAUUAAUUACUGCCUAACUGGUUAAUGAUGAUAAUCUUGUUCUUUUUUGGUUGUAACGAUUAGUACUAACUGAAAAAAACAUUAGAUUCUCUACUAUAGUCUUUAGGUGAUCGUUUUAUGGAUGAUGUAGUGUUGUAACCGUACUUACUUAUAUGUUUUAGCAGCUUUUUGUUAUAUAUGAAGAAUGAAAAACUAUUAUAUGAAUGAAUGUGCAACAGAACAAAUGUUAUUAUACAAUAUAUAUACCCUGUAUACCAACCUCACAUCGUAUAUUUUCA
This 660-nucleotide long non-coding RNA is filed under the name Lathyrus oleraceus (garden pea). RNAcentral's name for it is "Pisum sativum (pea) long non-coding RNA (PSAT_LNC037822)". The record is from RNAcentral. Lineage: Eukaryota; Viridiplantae; Streptophyta; Magnoliopsida; Fabales; Fabaceae.